AGAGUUUGAUCAUGGCUCAGAUUGAACGCUGGCGGCAUGCCUUACACAUGCAAGUCGAACGGCAGCACGGGAGCAAUCCUGGUGGCGAGUGGCGAACGGGUGAGUAAUAUAUCGGAACGUGCCCAGUAGUGGGGGAUAGCCCGGCGAAAGCCGGAUUAAUACCGCAUACGACCUGUGGGUGAAAGCGGGGGAUCGCAAGACCUCGCGCUAUUGGAGCGGCCGAUAUCAGAUUAGCUUGUUGGUGGGGUAAAAGCCCACCAAGGCGACGAUCUGUAGCUGGUCUGAGAGGACGACCAGCCACACUGGGACUGAGACACGGCCCAGACUCCUACGGGAGGCAGCAGUGGGGAAUUUUGGACAAUGGGCGCAAGCCUGAUCCAGCCAUGCCGCGUGUGGGAAGAAGGCCUUCGGGUUGUAAACCACUUUUGUCAGGGAAGAAACGGCUCUUACUAAUAUUAGGAGCGAAUGACGGUACCUGAAGAAUAAGCACGGCUACUACGUGCCAGCAGCCGCGGUA
Molecule: ribosomal RNA, 517 nt
Filed under: uncultured Pseudomonadota bacterium
Lineage: Bacteria; Pseudomonadati; Pseudomonadota
Description: bacterial SSU rRNA
Rfam family: Bacterial small subunit ribosomal RNA
Source: RNAcentral